RNAcentral lists this ribosomal RNA (1288 nucleotides) under Campylobacter coli. RNAcentral's name for it is "bacterial SSU rRNA". It matches the Rfam family "Bacterial small subunit ribosomal RNA", at positions 228 to 1533 of the family's 1533-position model. The record is from RNAcentral. Lineage: Bacteria; Pseudomonadati; Campylobacterota; Epsilonproteobacteria; Campylobacterales; Campylobacteraceae.
AGACUAUAUAGUAUCAGCUAGUUGGUAAGGUAAUGGCUUACCAAGGCUAUGACGCUUAACUGGUCUGAGAGGAUGAUCAGUCACACUGGAACUGAGACACGGUCCAGACUCCUACGGGAGGCAGCAGUAGGGAAUAUUGCGCAAUGGGGGAAACCCUGACGCAGCAACGCCGCGUGGAGGAUGACACUUUUCGGAGCGUAAACUCCUUUUCUUAGGGAAGAAUUCUGACGGUACCUAAGGAAUAAGCACCGGCUAACUCCGUGCCAGCAGCCGCGGUAAUACGGAGGGUGCAAGCGUUACUCGGAAUCACUGGGCGUAAAGGGCGCGUAGGCGGAUUAUCAAGUCUCUUGUGAAAUCUAAUGGCUUAACCAUUAAACUGCUUGGGAAACUGAUAGUCUAGAGUGAGGGAGAGGCAGAUGGAAUUGGUGGUGUAGGGGUAAAAUCCGUAGAUAUCACCAAGAAUACCCAUUGCGAAGGCGAUCUGCUGGAACUCAACUGACGCUAAGGCGCGAAAGCGUGGGGAGCAAACAGGAUUAGAUACCCUGGUAGUCCACGCCCUAAACGAUGUACACUAGUUGUUGGGGUGCUAGUCAUCUCAGUAAUGCAGCUAACGCAUUAAGUGUACCGCCUGGGGAGUACGGUCGCAAGAUUAAAACUCAAAGGAAUAGACGGGGACCCGCACAAGCGGUGGAGCAUGUGGUUUAAUUCGAAGAUACGCGAAGAACCUUACCUGGGCUUGAUAUCCUAAGAACCUUUUAGAGAUAAGAGGGUGCUAGCUUGCUAGAACUUAGAGACAGGUGCUGCACGGCUGUCGUCAGCUCGUGUCGUGAGAUGUUGGGUUAAGUCCCGCAACGAGCGCAACCCACGUAUUUAGUUGCUAACGGUUCGGCCGAGCACUCUAAAUAGACUGCCUUCGUAAGGAGGAGGAAGGUGUGGACGACGUCAAGUCAUCAUGGCCCUUAUGCCCAGGGCGACACACGUGCUACAAUGGCAUAUACAAUGAGACGCAAUACCGCGAGGUGGAGCAAAUCUAUAAAAUAUGUCCCAGUUCGGAUUGUUCUCUGCAACUCGAGAGCAUGAAGCCGGAAUCGCUAGUAAUCGUAGAUCAGCCAUGCUACGGUGAAUACGUUCCCGGGUCUUGUACUCACCGCCCGUCACACCAUGGGAGUUGAUUUCACUCGAAGCCGGAAUACUAAACUAGUUACCGUCCACAGUGGAAUCAGCGACUGGGGUGAAGUCGUAACAAGGUAACCGUAGGAGAACCUGCGGUUGGAUCACCUCCUUUCUA